AUGAUUCUGUACAUGCUGCUUCUCAGACUGACCUUUUUCCACCUUAAAAUGACAAGAAUUUAUUCAGAAGACAUCGGAGCAAUUACGACUCCUGUCAUAGAAGUGCCUGUAACAAUA
Molecule: long non-coding RNA, 117 nt
Organism: Scleropages formosus (Asian bonytongue)
Lineage: Eukaryota; Metazoa; Chordata; Actinopteri; Osteoglossiformes; Osteoglossidae
Exons: 3
Source: RefSeq, a predicted model, not a curated record